This 406-nucleotide ribosomal RNA is filed under the name uncultured bacterium. Its description in RNAcentral is "partial 16S ribosomal RNA". It matches the Rfam family "Bacterial small subunit ribosomal RNA", at positions 30 to 526 of the family's 1533-position model. The record is from RNAcentral.
AUUGAACGCUGGCGGCAGGCCUAACACAUGCAAGUCGAACGAGUGGCGGACGGGUGAGUAAUGCUUGGGAAUCUGCCUGAUGGAGGGGGAUAACUACUGGAAACGGUAGCUAAUACCGCAUACCAUCGGAUGUGCCCAAGUGGGAUUAGGUAGUUGGUGCGGUAAAGGCUCACCACGCCGACGAUCUCUAGCUGGUCUGAGAGGAUGACCAGCAAAACUGGAACUGAGACACGUCCCAGACUCCGACGGGAGGCAGCAGUGGGGAAUAUUGCGCAAUGGGGGCAACCCUGAUGCAGCCAUGCCGCGUGAAUGAAGAAGGCCUUCGGGUUGUAAAGUUCUUUCGGUAGCGAGGCGUUAACUACAGAAGAAGCACCGGCUAACUCCGUGCCAGCAGCCGCGGUAAUAC